UUUUCGUGGCGAACGGGUGAGUAACACGUGGGCAAUCUGCCCUUCACUCUGGGACAAGCCCUGGAAACGGGGUCUAAUACCGGAUAACACUCUGUCCCGCAUGGGACGGGGUUAAAAGCUCCGGCGGUGAAGGAUGAGCCCGCGGCCUAUCAGCUUGUUGGUGGGGUAAUGGCCUACCAAGGCGACGACGGGUAGCCGGCCUGAGAGGGCGACCGGCCACACUGGGACUGAGACACGGCCCAGACUCCUACGGGAGGCAGCAGUGGGGAAUAUUGCACAAUGGGCGAAAGCCUGAUGCAGCGACGCCGCGUGAGGGAUGACGGCCUUCGGGUUGUAAACCUCUUUCAGCAGGGAAGAAGCGAAAGUGACGGUACCUGCAGAAGAAGCGCCGGCUAACUACGUGCCAGCAGCCGCGGUAAUACGUAGGGCGCAAGCGUUGUCCGGAAUUAUUGGGCGUAAAGAGCUCGUAGGCGGCUUGUCACGUCGGAUGUGAAAGCCCGGGGCUUAACCCCGGGUCUGCAUUCGAUACGGGCUAGCUAGAGUGUGGUAGGGGAGAUCGGAAUUCCUGGUGUAGCGGUGAAAUGCGCAGAUAUCACGAGGAACACCGGUGGCGAAGGCGGAUCUCUGGGCCAUUACUGACGCUGAGGAGCGAAAGCGUGGGGAGCGAACAGGAUUAGAUACCCUGGUAGUCCACGCCGUAAACGUUGGGAACUAGGUGUUGGCGACAUUCCACGUCGUCGUGCGCAGCUAACGCAUUUAGUUCCCCGCCUGGGGGAGUACGGCCGCAAGGCUAAAACUCAAAGGA
Molecule: ribosomal RNA, 805 nt
Filed under: Streptomyces sp.
Lineage: Bacteria; Bacillati; Actinomycetota; Actinomycetes; Kitasatosporales; Streptomycetaceae
Description: bacterial SSU rRNA
Rfam family: Bacterial small subunit ribosomal RNA
Source: RNAcentral